Molecule: ribosomal RNA, 465 nt
Filed under: uncultured bacterium
Lineage: Bacteria
Description: partial 16S ribosomal RNA
Rfam family: Bacterial small subunit ribosomal RNA
Source: RNAcentral
GACGAACGCUGGCGGCGUGCUUAACACAUGCAAGUCGAGCGAGGCCCCUCCUUCGGGAGGGUGUCCUAGCGGCGAACGGGUGAGUAACACGUGGGCAACCUGCCCUCAGCUCUGGGAUAACUCCGGGAAACCGGGGCUAAUACCGGAUACGACCUCCACGGGCAUCUGCGGAGGUGGAAAGUUUUUCGGCUGAGGAUGGGCCCGCGGCCUAUCAGCUAGUUGGUGGGGUAGUGGCCCACCAAGGCGACGACGGGUAGCCGGCCUGAGAGGGCGACCGGCCACACUGGGACUGGGACAACGGCCAGACUCCUACCGGGGGGAGCAGGUGGGAAUAAUGCGCAAGGGGCGGAAGCCUGACGCAGCGACGCCGGGGGAGGGAAGAAGGCCUUCGGGUUGUAAACCUCUUUCAGCAGGGACGAAGCGAAAGUGACGGUACCUGCAGAAGAAGCACCGGCCAACUACGUG